Molecule: ribosomal RNA, 253 nt
Filed under: uncultured bacterium
Lineage: Bacteria
Description: partial 16S ribosomal RNA
Rfam family: Bacterial small subunit ribosomal RNA
Source: RNAcentral
UACGGAGGGAGCUAGCGUUGUUCGGAAUUACUGGGCGUAAAGCGCACGUAGGCGGCUUUGUAAGUUAGAGGUGAAAGCCCGGGGCUCAACUCUGGAAUUGCCUUUUAGACUGCAUCGCUUGAAUCAUGGAGAGGUCAGUGGAAUUCCGAGUGUAGAGGUGAAAUUCGUAGAUAUUCGGAAGAACACCAGUGGCGAAGGCGGCUGACUGGACAUGUAUUGACGCUGAGGUGCGAAAGCGUGGGGAGCAAACAGG